Non-coding RNA from Acanthosepion pharaonis, 107 nucleotides. The record is from the annotation of a GenBank genome assembly. Lineage: Eukaryota; Metazoa; Mollusca; Cephalopoda; Sepiida; Sepiidae.
CCAUGGUACGUUGAAACACCGGUUCACGUACGAUCACCGAAGUUAAGCAACGUCGAGCCUGCUCAGUACCUAGAUGGGUGAACGCUUAGGAAUACUUGGUACUGUAA